Molecule: small nucleolar RNA, 135 nt
Organism: Pelodiscus sinensis (Chinese soft-shelled turtle)
Lineage: Eukaryota; Metazoa; Chordata; Testudines; Trionychidae
Source: Rfam
GCAGUGCCUUUGAGCAGGUACAGUCUCUCUCUAAUGGCUUCGCCAACUAAGCAGCACAGCAAGAGGAAAAGCUUCUUCAUAACCGGUGCUGCAUGGCUAAAGCCCGAGCAGCGCUUUUAAGAGUGAGGAACAAGU